AAAUAAAGAAACUUCAUAGCCCUGGGUGAGGGGGAUAAACGUCCUUAGCUGCCAAAUCUGGCCCACGGGCCAUAGUUUGAGGACCUCUGUUAUAGUAAAGGAAAAAAAAAUGUUUUUAAUAAUGUAAGCAUCUCCACAUAAUCCAGCAUUAAAAAAAAAAAAAUCUCAGUAGUCAGUGUUAGUUGGAAUGAGUAAUUAGGGGGAGAAUGAGAUAAAUAGAAAAAAAAAAUAGAAUACAAUGAAGAAAUACUAUGAGUUGAGACGGAUUUAAAGAGAAUGUCCACAAUAUAUCCUAAUAUAACCUAUGAGGGGAAAAAAUGACUUGGUCAUAAGAAUGCAUGAAAAAAUAAAAUUAGAGGUAAAAAUGAACUUAGAAUUUAAAUAAGAACCCCAAAGGGGUUCUAGCCUUGAAGCAGGCUAGAAAGUGGAGAAUUUUACCUAAGUAGUUUACCUAAAAAUAAAAUAGAAUAGCCAGUGCUCAAAGAUACCAUAAAACAAUAAAAAAUAUUCAAAGUAAAAAAAAAUUGGGGGGGGAUAGAUGAAAAUAAAAGAUAGCUACUAUCAAAAACAACUCUCCUGAAAAACAAAUCUAGGAGAAAUAAUUUAGGAAUCAUCAAUAUUGAAAAACAUGACAAAUCUAAAACCCUGAGUACUACUUCAAGAAAUAGGAAAACUGUAUAUAUCUAGUGGAACCAAAGGGGAAAAUGAAUAUGGAAAGAAUCCACCAAUCACCUCCUGAAAGAAACCCCAAACUGAAAACACAAGAGUAUCAUAAUCAAAAUCCAAAGCUUCCAAUAUGGAGCAAAAAUAUUGCAAGCAAUCAGAAAGAGUCAGGAAUCCGAGUCAGGAUCACCUAACACCAUGUAGUAACACUCUAAAUUAGAAUUUACAUUCCAAAAGGCAAAAGCUGGUAGCCAAGAAGACCUUAUACAAAGAGAAUAAUCUUAAGGAGUUUGGGGGCAGAAGAGAAUGGAUUUUUAAUAGACUGUAGAACUUUCAAGCAUUCUCAGUGAAAAUACCAGAGCUCAGUGGAAACUUUGAAGCACAAACACAGAAGUCAAAGGUAGCAAAUAUAUAUGAGCAUACAGAAGAGCCUUCAGGGGUCCUCAAACUACGGCCGGCGGGCCAGAUGCGGCAACUGAGGACAUUUAUCCCCUUCACCUAGGGCUAUGAAGUUUAUUUAAAGGCCCACAAAACAAAGUUUUUGUUUUUACUAUAGUCCGGCCCUCCAACAGUCUGAGGGACAGUGAACUGCCCCCUUAUUUAAAAAGUUUGAGGACCCACAGAAAUAAUUAUGAUGGGUUUAACUUCUAAUAAGAGGAGAAAAGGAAAAUGUGUCCUUUAGAAUCUCACUGUUAUCAAGAGUCAUAAAUGGAUCUAAGUAACAUGCAAACAUAGAAAUGAUCUUGUUUUGGUUGAUUCAUUUUCAGAGAGAAAAGGAAAAGAAAGAAAAAAAGGAACAUGGUAAGAAAAAAAUAAUGAAAAAGGGGGAAGAAAAGAGAGCAAAGUUUAAGAAUGGCAAAAUCAAGGGGAAAAUGGGUGUAAGCAAUACAAACAUCAUCUUGAUAGGAUUAAUCAUAAAAGAAGAUAUUAACAAGAGAGGAAGAUCAAAUGUAAGUUAAGAAUAUGAAGGUAAAGAAAAGAGAACCAGAGAAGGUUGAAGAACAGAACACUUCAAUAAUAGACUAUAAUAAUGUUAAUCAUAUUUCUUUUCUUUCUCCAGCUCCUCUUUUGCAAAUAGGAGAAUGAAAACAAUGAAAUGAACCUCCAACCUCCUCUCCCCCCAAAAAAGAUAUAAUGGAAAGAAGUAAAUAAUUCAUAUUUAUGACCAUGAGGAGAAUUAAGAUCAAUUGACACAUAAAAGGGAGGAAAGGCACAAAAUGGGUUAGAAAGCAAAAUCCAAAAAUACAUUGUAUAUAAAAAACACACUUAAAAAAAAAAGAUUCACACAGUUAAAAUAUAAGGCUAGAACAGAAUUUUUUAUGCUUCAGGUGAAUUUAGAAAAGCUAAAGAAGAAAUUGUGUCAGACAAGUAGAAUGAAGGCUUUAUGCUCACGGGUACCAUAAAAAAUGAAAUAUUAGUAUUUGGUGUAUCAAUGACAUAGCAUCCAAAUACUUAAAAGGAAAGUUAAUUGAAUUGCAAAGAGAAAUAGACAGUAAACUAUAGUAUCAAGAGACCCUUACAAAACACCACAAGUUAAAGGAGGGGAAAAAACAAAGAAAUUGAAUAAAAUCUUAUGCAGGUUACAUAUGAUAGACUUUUGGUGGAUAUUGAAUGGAAGGAGGAAGGAGUACACAUAUUUCAGCGCUAUAAAGCACUGUUCUAAAAACUUUUAUGACAUUAAAACCUCAUUAACAAAUGCAGAAAAGCAAAAAUAUUAAACAUUCUUUACUGACCACAAUGUAAUAAAAAAUGUAAUCAGUAAAGAUCAUUUGAAGAAAUGAAUGAAACUUAAAUGCAACUUAAAUUUAACAUGCAAGAAUUCAUGGUUCAAAGAAUAAACCACAUAAAUAUCUAAUUUCAAAAAGUUACAUCAAUGAGACAAUUGCUAAAAACCUUUGGUCUAUAUCCAUGGCAUACAUCCUUAGAUCAAUAUCACAAUCAAUUUCAUCAACAGAGAGAAGGGAAGUAUAGAUCAAUGGAUUGGAAAACAACUUGAAAACUUUUUUUUAAAGAAUUUUUUAAAAAACUAAAAAUGAAAAUUGAAAUUCUGAAAAUUAAAGUAAAAUUGAAAACCCAAAAAUGAACUGACAAAACUAGGAACUUUUUUUUUUAAUGAAGUGAAUAAACAGGAUAAUCUGAUCCCUCCCCCAAAAGAGGAGAAAAUCAAAUUGCCUAAAUCUAAAAUGAAACAAGGAUUCAUAACAAAUGAAGAGAAAACACAAUCAUUGGAAACUUUUUUUCAAUUAAAUACCAAAAAAUUGACAGCAAAUAUAAUUAAUAAAUGUUUACAGAAUUAUAAAAUUACCAAAUUAACAGAUUAAAAAAUGCAGAAUUUAAAUAGAAAUUGAACAAAUCCUAAAGGAACUUCUCAAGGGGAAAAAAGAACCUAUCAAAGCACAAUAAAUUCCAAUAUUACAAAAAUACUGAAUUGAUCAUUAAUUUAGGAAAUUUUGAAAUGGGGGCAUGCACAUGUAUUCUUUAGAUGCUCACCAGGAAGGACCAUGAUUACAAUGGGGUGACAAUCAUGUUCCAAUAACUACAGAGUAUAUGGGGGCAAAAAGCAUAUAAGGUAGAGCCAAGCAGCAAGCCUAAGAGUCCUGAGAAUAAUGACACUAAAUAAUGACCUUAACAAUGAGACAUCUCAUAAGUGAAAGCUACAUGUUGUCACCCCUAUUAGAAUGUGAGCUUCUUGAGGUGGAAUUUUUCUCAUUCCAGAGAAAUCUUUGUCUCCAUACUACUCAGCACAGUGUUUUGCACAUAGUAAGCACUUAAUAAAUGCUUUAUUCGUUUAUUCACAACACACAUAAGAAUUACAUGAAUAUUAUUACUAAACUAAACAGCAAAUAUGGCAGGAGUUAGUGGGCUUUUUUGAGAGGAAAGCAGGUUUAAAAUAGUAAUAUAAUUAAUAAAAACAAGUAUCAAAUAUGAAAAAGUGCAUAGAAGAGAGAAGGUGCUUCAAAGAAGGAUUAGAGAGCUUUGUAGAAAUAUCAAAUUAAAAUUUUAACAUGAAAUUUUUUAUUAUAGCUUUUUAUUUACAAGAUAUAUGCAUAGGUAAUUUUUCAUCAUUGAGAAUUGCAAAACCUUUUGUUCCAACUUUUCCCCUCCUUUCCCUCACCCCCUCCCCCAGAUGGCAGGUUGACCAAUACAUGUUAAAUAUAACAUGAACUUUUUUUUUAAAAAAAAAGCUGUAUAUAAUGGAGAUUCAUGGAAUCAUAUGUAAUCCUCUUUCUAUUCUUCAUAGAUGAAAAAUUCAUUGUUUACUGAUGUUUGUAAUCUCACAAAAAAAUUUACCCCCCAAAAAUCUAAGUUGUUAAAAAAAUUCAACAGAUAUUAUCUUUAAAUGUGCACAGCAUUGGAGCUAACAAAGAUCAAAAAGAACCCAGCUCCUGACCUCAAGGAAAUUAUGAUCUACUAACGGACUUUAAAUUCUAUAUCCAAGCUCCAUGGCUUUCUAUAGUCAAAAUAUUUAUCAUUCAUUGACCAAUAUUCAGGAUGGCUGGCUUUCUCUGAUGAUGAACCUCUCUAUAACUUAGUUGGUUUUUCAGCAAUAGCUGUGGUAACAUCAUCCCUGUUUUCAGAGUUUUUCUAGCAUAGCUUUAGAAAAGCCAGAAGCACCUUUAUUCCAUGGCAAGACAUCAGAGUAAGACUUAGUAAUGAAGUCUGGUCUACACCACUGGUGUGGGAAGUAUGGUCAAUGCCCUUUAAACACUGCUACUUAGCAUCACAAACCACUGCUCACAAAAGGAGAGCAAUAAUUAUAAUACUGGUUUCCAUUUAUAAAGAAUUUUAUGGUUACUGAGUAUCUUCACUUCAUGUCAUUAGAUCUUCUUUGAAUCACACAACAAACCAUUCGAGUCUGAUCAUUUCCAAUAUCAUUAUGCCCAUUUUACAAAUGAGAAAAGUCUUAGAGCCUUGCCUAAGGUUACCCAAACCCAGGUCUCUGACCUUUCCACCAUGCUGCAGCAAGAACACUGGUUCCAAUUUCUUCACUGCAAAUUAUAUUUUGUAUUAAUUUUCAAGGCUAUAUUAUUGUAGUUUUAAAGAGUAGUUUAGGGAGAUUUCUUAAAACACCAAUCUAGCCUAGAGAUUUGGGGAUAUGGUUGCCAAGUGACCAGAUGGUUAUAUAGAAUCAGAGAAAAUAAUAUCAUUUUCUAUAAAAUGGAUUGUUGGCAGAUUACAAUGCAUUGAAAAACAACUUUUAAUUAAAAUUUGCUUUAAAUGGAAAUAUUUCUUGCAAUGAUGAUUAUAAUGAUUUGCCGACAGGUGAUAAAGUGAGAUGUUUCUGUUUAGACUUUGAAGCACAGCUCCUAGAUAGUUUGUGAAUCAUUUUUAAUUUUAAGUGAUGUCUUCUGGCACUAAGUCAACUUUGUCCCCAAUAAUUCAUUAGCAAUGAUAGCUGCUCAAUGGUGAGAUUGGAAUCAGUGUAGUACACAACCAUGUUAAACACUCAGAUCUCCUAAUUAAUGGCUUUUCCGUAUGGAACAGAGAGCUCGCUCUUCCUCCCUGAGGGACUGCAAUUUCAUGGUUCCUAAUGAUGGCUAGAUUAUAUUAUCUGGAUCACUUGGGCUAUGGGUGACAUAAGCAAUGUUCAGAAAUGUUUACAUGAGAUUUAAGAGGAGAAAAAUCCCUCCGGAACCCUAAAAAUAAAAAGAAAGAGUUUGAAAAUGUAUGUUUCUAAUUUUCAUUAAUAUAUUGCUCUGACUUUUAUGUGACUUGGGUGUCAAUUUCAAGUUCUAGUCUUUCUGAAAUCUACCUUCUUCCCACCUUCUUAACCUUCUCUCCUCUCCCUGUCAUCAUCAGGUUAAUGUUUGUAGAAUCUAUUUAUUUGCUGUAUUCAGUGUGCUAAUUUACUUGAAGCAUAUAUUUUCAUUAAAUAUACUGGGAUUGUUAUUUUACAUAUUGUUCUUGGGACCAUAUUUGAUGGAUAUUUCUUAUUUUAUUUGAUGAUCCAAAUAAAAUACUUCAUUCCAAAUUACAAGUGAUUAUUCUUUUCAUUUUCAAAUGUUUCUCUAGAGCAGCUAGAUGGCACAAUGGAUAAAACACCAGUCCUGAAGUAAUGAACGUCGGAGUUCAGAUCUGGCCCCAGACACUUAACAUUUCCUAGCUGUGUGACUGGGGGUCAGUCACUUAACCCAAAUGCCCCAACAAAUAAAUAAAUGAUGGAUGCACAGAUAGAUAGAUGAAUAAAUAAAAUAAACAAAUGUUUCAUUUGCCUCCUUCCCCUGUUUUAAGUUUGGAGAAAAAAGAUAUACCCAAACAAACUGAUUU
Long non-coding RNA from Sarcophilus harrisii (Tasmanian devil), 5931 nucleotides. NCBI's taxonomy places the organism in Eukaryota, Metazoa, Chordata, Mammalia, Dasyuromorphia, Dasyuridae. The record is from Ensembl.